GGUCUCCCAGUAAUGGAUAAGAAUUCACAGACUUUUAUCCUCAUCAUACUCUUAGGUAGGGAAACAGUAAUAUUCCUGUUUCACAGAUGCAAGACCAAGGCACUAAUGAGGAAAAGUCUAGAUCCAGUAGUUUCAAUAGCUUGCAAUUAAUAACUUAAGAUCAAAGAUGCUCUUCCCCAGACUACACUACUUUGCUAUUCUAUUUUGGAGGCAGCUAUGAAGUAUUCCCCAGAGCUCAGCUGCUGAAGUGCAAAGCCCCAAGAUAUCUUGGUGCUGUGUUGCUGGUCCUGUCAACACCGGUCUACACUCAGAUGAUGUUCCAGAAAAUAAUUUUUAACCCUCCCCCACAGCCUGUUGGCUAAGGGAUGUAACUUCUUGCCUGCUCUAUCAUCUUGUGCAUUGUGCUUCAGCUCAGUGGCCUGUUUUUGCAGCAAGGGGAUGUUAUCCUGUGCUACCGUGACCACCAGCAUUUGGGGAGAUGGAAGCUGCAUUUAAGGAUUCUGCCAGGCAAAAGAGAGAAGUGACCCUGGACCCUUCAGUUCAUAGCAGCAGCACCAUGACUUUUCCUUGUCACAGCUCAAAGGAGGAAGCAACUGCAUCUGCUACCCAGACUGCACGCUGCUAUUUCCAGGUGUGUUUUCCCCCUGCCAAACCUGCAGCAUAGGAAGCAAGCCCUGCCUGUUGCGUGGCUGGCUAAUCUCCUAUCACUCAUUCUUCCAUUCAGCAAUGUAGCAUUGUGUGUUCUGUGUUUGGUAUUGCUGAAAUAAAGAGCAUAACUCGAGACAGAGUACAUAUGCCUGAAGAUUUUCUAGAAAGCAUAAAC
RNAcentral lists this long non-coding RNA (823 nucleotides) under Gallus gallus (chicken). RNAcentral's name for it is "long non-coding RNA NONGGAT008407". Lineage: Eukaryota; Metazoa; Chordata; Aves; Galliformes; Phasianidae. The record is from RNAcentral.